This 270-nucleotide ribosomal RNA is filed under the name uncultured eukaryote. RNAcentral describes it as "partial small subunit ribosomal RNA". It matches the Rfam family "Eukaryotic small subunit ribosomal RNA", at positions 587 to 861 of the family's 1831-position model. The record is from RNAcentral.
AGCUCCAAUAGCGUAUAUUAAAGUUGUUGCGGUUAAAAAGCUCGUAGUUGGAUUUCUGUCGAAGACUGCCGGUCCGCUCUAUGAGCGUGUAUCUGGUUAGGCUUUGGCAUCCUCUUGAAGAACGUUGCUGCGCUUGAUUGCGUGGUGCGGUAUUCAAGACCUUUACUUUGAGGAAAUUAGAGUGUUCACGGCAGGCAAGCGCCUUGGAUACAUUAGCAUGGAAUAAUAACAUAGGAUUUAGGUUCUAUUUUGUUGGUUUCUAGAACUUGA